GGGGAACCUGCGGAGGGAUCAUUACACAAAUAUGAAGGCGGGCUGGAACCUCUCGGGGUUACAGCCUUGCUGAAUUAUUCACCCUUGUCUUUUGCGUACUUCUUGUUUCCUUGGUGGGUUCGCCCACCACUAGGACAAACAUAAACCUUUUGUAAUUGCAAUCAGCGUCAGUAACAAAUUAAUAAUUACAACUUUCAACAACGGAUCUCUUGGUUCUGGCAUCGAUGAAGAACGCAGCGAAAUGCGAUAAGUAGUGUGAAUUGCAGAAUUCAGUGAAUCAUCGAAUCUUUGAACGCACAUUGCGCCCUUUGGUAUUCCAAAGGGCAUGCCUGUUCGAGCGUCAUUUGUACCCUCAAGCUUUGCUUGGUGUUGGGCGUCUUGUCUCUAGCUUUGCUGGAGACUCGCCUUAAAGUAAUUGGCAGCCGGCCUACUGGUUUCGGAGCGCAGCACAAGUCGCACUCUCUAUCAGCAAAGGUCUAGCAUCCAUUAAGCCUUUUUUUCAACUUUUGACCUCGGAUCAAGUUAGGAAGCCCCGUUUUCU
RNAcentral lists this ribosomal RNA (541 nucleotides) under fungal sp. Its description in RNAcentral is "eukaryotic LSU rRNA". The stretch from base 190 to 343 matches the Rfam family "5.8S ribosomal RNA". Lineage: Eukaryota; Fungi. The record is from RNAcentral.